AUUUAUAUAGUUUAAUAAAAACAUUUCAUUUUCAAUGAAAAGAUAAAAAUUAAUUUUUAUAAAUU
RNAcentral lists this transfer RNA (65 nucleotides) under Dictyla platyoma. RNAcentral describes it as "tRNA-Glu". The record is from RNAcentral. Lineage: Eukaryota; Metazoa; Arthropoda; Insecta; Hemiptera; Tingidae.